RNAcentral lists this unclassified non-coding RNA (407 nucleotides) under Hevea brasiliensis (rubber tree). Lineage: Eukaryota; Viridiplantae; Streptophyta; Magnoliopsida; Malpighiales; Euphorbiaceae. The record is from RNAcentral.
GAAAAAAAAAAAAAAAAAAAUCUGAUAAUCUAUUUAAGGAGAAAGGGAUGAGAUAUGCCUUACUUCUUCAAUACGCUAGUUACAUCCUUUCUGGAACUGAUUGGAACUGGAGAGGUAGAGAAACCAUUUUGCUUAUUUGAAACCAGAUGGUGAUCAACUUUCUUAUUUCUCUCUUCAUCCUCAUUUGACCCACCAGGGGAUGAUGAUCCGAAUAUUUGGACUGUCAGGCUUCCCACAAGCACAAGAGCAGCCCCAAUCCAACCAGCAAGACCCCACCUUUCACCAAGGAGAAACCACGCAAAACCAGCACCCCACACUGGUUCCAGCCCAUAAAUUAUUGCAGUUUCUGUCGCCGAUACAUCACACAUGGCAGCCAUCUCAAUCCAUAAGCAUAAUCCAGUUGAGAA